Molecule: long non-coding RNA, 990 nt
Organism: Carassius carassius (crucian carp)
Lineage: Eukaryota; Metazoa; Chordata; Actinopteri; Cypriniformes; Cyprinidae
Exons: 3
Source: RefSeq, a predicted model, not a curated record
UAACUCUCUUAGACUCUUCUCUACUCAUGAUCUUUGAAGACGUGACUGCAGAUUUGACUAAAAAGAAAAAGAUAGAAUCAAACCUUACUUCAUCCCUCCUGCAGUGACAGAGACGCACUUUCAUCAAGAAGAUAACAUUGUAUGAGAGAGAGAUAGUAAGAAAAUAAAAAAGAGAGGGAGGGAGAGAGAGAGAGAGAGAGAGUGAGAGACAAACAAGGGAAGCCAAAGAAGAAAAGCUUCCUCUGCCCCCUCAUAUCUCUCCAGGGAAUGAGAGAGUAUGGCAGAAAAUAGAGGGAUGGAGGGAGGGAAGACUGUUGAAUGUAGUUGAGCACCGCGAUCAGAGGUAAUAACAUCACAUUUUAAUUCUAAUCAAAGAGAUGUGGAUGUGAGAGAAGGGCUUUUCCAUUGGUUCUGCUUUUGAGACCAAAUACCAGCAGAGAAUGCUUCAAUUCGUAAAAAACUGAGAGAGGCAGAGAAGGAACGAGAGCGAGAGAACGCGGAGGAUAAAUGGAGCACCCAGCAGCCAAUGAGAGACUGAGAUGGGACCAACACUGACACCCAGAGCAAAGCAGACCAGAGAUUUCUGACAUGGUGUCGACCCAGAUUAAUUGGAGGAAAAAUGAGGGGAGAGAGGACAGACAAAGACAGACUUGCGCCGCUGCUUCAGAAAACACAGAAUGUAUACCGAGGACAUUCAUCCUCCCAUGUGCCCACAAGAUAUUUCUUAAGGUGUUCUACUGUAAAUAAGGUGUGUGGACCCAGUGUGCAGCACUAAUCUUAGAGACGGGGGAGGGGACGAUUCUCCACAUACAUACAAACCCCCUUCUGCCAAUCAGAGAGAAAGACAGAGAAGGAGAAGGAGAGAAAGUGAAGAAACAGAGGAGACGGCAGAGAGGCUGAAAAGAGGAAACAGCUCUAGCUGUUAUCUUAGGUGGACAGAGAGGAAGAAUUACACACAAACAAACUGUCCAGCCACACGUUACAAGACGC